Molecule: ribosomal RNA, 183 nt
Filed under: uncultured bacterium
Lineage: Bacteria
Description: partial 16S ribosomal RNA
Rfam family: Bacterial small subunit ribosomal RNA
Source: RNAcentral
ACACGAAGCUGGAAUCGCUAGUAAUCGUGAAUCAGAAUGUCACGGUGAAUACGUUCCCGGGUCUUGUACACACCGCCCGUCACACCAUGGGAGUCAGCAACGCCCGAAGUCAGUGACCUAACCGAGAGGGAGGAGCUGCCGAAGGCGGGGCCGGUAACUGGGGUGAAGUCGUAACAAGGUAAC